CCUACGGGAGGCAGCAGUAGGGAAUAUUGCUCAAUGGGGGAAACCCUGAAGCAGCAACGCCGCGUGGAGGAUGAAGGUUUUCGGAUUGUAAACUCCUUUUGUUAGAGAAGAUAAUGACGGUAUCUAACGAAUAAGCACUGGCUAACUCCGUGCCAGCAGCCGCGGUAAUACGGAGGGUGCAAGCGUUACUCGGAAUUACUGGGCGUAAAGAGCGCGUAGGCGGGAGAGCAAGUCAGAUGUGAAAUCCUAGGGCUUAACCAUAGAACUGCAUUUGAUACUGUUCUUCUAGAGUAUGGGAGAGGUAGGUAGAAUUCUAGGUGUAGGGGUAAAAUGCGUAGAGAUGAGGAGGAAUACUCAUUGCGAAGGCGACCUCCUAGACAAAGACUGACGCUGAUGUGCGAAAGCGUGGGGAGCAAACAGGAUUAGAUACCCCAGUAGUC
RNAcentral lists this ribosomal RNA (440 nucleotides) under uncultured bacterium. Its description in RNAcentral is "partial 16S ribosomal RNA". It matches the Rfam family "Bacterial small subunit ribosomal RNA", at positions 338 to 795 of the family's 1533-position model. The record is from RNAcentral.